UUCUGGACAGUACUGACGCUGAGAUGCGAAGCGUGGGGAGCAAACAGGAUUAGAUACCUGGUAGUCCACGCUGUAAACGAUGUCGAUUUGGAGUUUGUUGCCUAGAGUGAUGGGCUCCGAAGCUAACGCGAUAAAUCGACCGCCUGGGGAGUACGGCCGCAAGGUUAAAACUCAAAUGAAUUGACGGGGGCCCGCACAAGCGGUGGAGCAUGUGGUUUAAUUCGAUGCAACGCGAAGAACCUUACCUGGUCUUGACAUCCAUAGAAUUCUGCAGAGAUGUGGGAGUGCCUUCGGGAACUAUGAGACAGGUGCUGCAUGGCUGUCGUCAGCUCGUGUUGUGAAAUGUUGGGUUAAGUCCCGCAACGAGCGCAACCCUUAUUCUUUGUUGCCAGCGAUUUGGUCGGGAACUCAAAGGAGACUGCCGUUGAUAAAGCGGAGGAAGGUGGGGACGACGUCAAGUCAUCAUGGCCCUUACGACCAGGGCUACACACGUGCUACAAUGGCGUAUACAAAGGGAAGCGAAGGUGCGAGCUGGAGCGGAUCUCAUAAAGUACGUCUAAGUUCGGAUUGGAGUCUGCAACUCGACUCCAUGAAGUCGGAAUCGCUAGUAAUCGUAGAUCAGAAUGCUACGGUGAAUACGUUCCCGGGCCUUGUACACACCGCCCGUCACACCAUGGGAGUGGGUUGCACCAGAAGUAGAUAGCUUAACCGCGAGGGGGGCGUUUACCACGGUGUGAUUCAUGACUGGGGUGAAGUCGUAACAAGGUAACCA
This 772-nucleotide ribosomal RNA is filed under the name uncultured Enterobacteriaceae bacterium. RNAcentral's name for it is "bacterial SSU rRNA". It matches the Rfam family "Bacterial small subunit ribosomal RNA", at positions 727 to 1502 of the family's 1533-position model. The record is from RNAcentral. Lineage: Bacteria; Pseudomonadati; Pseudomonadota; Gammaproteobacteria; Enterobacterales; Enterobacteriaceae.